GACGAACGCUGGCGGCGUGCUUAACACAUGCAAGUCGAACGGAAAGGCCCUGCUUUUGUGGGGUGCUCGAGUGGCGAACGGGUGAGUAACACGUGAGUAACCUGCCCUUGACUUUGGGAUAACUUCAGGAAACUGGGGCUAAUACCGGAUAGGAGCUCCUGCUGCAUGGUGGGGGUUGGAAAGUUUCGGCGGUUGGGGAUGGACUCGCGGCUUAUCAGCUUGUUGGUGGGGUAGUGGCUUACCAAGGCUUUGACGGGUAGCCGGCCUGAGAGGGUGACCGGCCACAUUGGGACUGAGAUACGGCCCAGACUCCUACGGGAGGCAGCAGUAGAGAAUAUUGCACAAUGGGCGGAAGCCUGAUGCAGCAACGCCGCGAGCGGGAUAACGGCCUUCGGGUUAUAAACCGCUUUCGCCUGUGACGAAGCGUGAGUGACGGUAAUGGGUAAAGAAGCACCGGCUAACUACGUG
This 468-nucleotide ribosomal RNA is filed under the name uncultured bacterium. RNAcentral describes it as "partial 16S ribosomal RNA". It matches the Rfam family "Bacterial small subunit ribosomal RNA", at positions 28 to 507 of the family's 1533-position model. The record is from RNAcentral.